Long non-coding RNA from Nycticebus coucang (slow loris), 529 nucleotides. RefSeq lists it as uncharacterized. The record is from RefSeq and is a predicted model, not a curated record. The transcript has 3 exons. Lineage: Eukaryota; Metazoa; Chordata; Mammalia; Primates; Lorisidae.
GAGUUUUUAAAUCCUCAAAAAUCCUGUUUUAAAACUUCACCCCAGUUUAAUCUUAGACCUGAAAAGUCGUGGGACAUCCGUGAGGCAAUCUGAAGCCUCUGUCUACUCCCUAGUUUGGCUAGAUUAGGAACCAACAGGUUCGUCUGUUAUUGAGACUCCCAGAAUGACAUUCUGAGCAGGUUAUUUAAUUAUGGGUGGUCUGGGAGGUCUCUGAGACCAAAGCCUAAGAUGCCUAAGGCUUUUUUCAGUGAAAAGUCCUGGAAAGCAGGCCCGGGCCGGGUUCGAACCCACCAGCCCGGGUUCUAAUCCACCAGCCCCAGAGCAUGUGGCCAGCGCCCUAACCACUGAACUACAGGGGCCCAUCCCAAGUGUUCAUUCUUGAAGAUCCUAUCAGAAUGCUCUUAUCAUGAAAAAUCAUAAAUAGUCCGUCCCAAAAAGUUCUGUAGGGUAAGAAGACCACAAGGUCAAGGUGCCAGCAGAUUUGAUGUCUGGUGAGAACUUUUUCUGAUUCGUAGAUGAUGCCUUUUAG